AAAGUGACUUGCCCUUUUGGCUAAGAUCAAGUGUAGUAUCUGUUCUUAUCAGUUUAAUAUCUGAUAUGUCUUCGAGGUGAGGACGCUGUAUUAAGCAUCUUUUUGGAGUAGGGAGGUGGGUUGGGAGCUUGCUCCAUUCCCUCUACUCAUCGGCCUGGUAUUGCAGUGCUUCCAGGAUGGGUAUUUUUUUU
This is a small nuclear RNA of Ornithorhynchus anatinus (platypus), 191 nucleotides long. RefSeq annotates it as U2 spliceosomal RNA. Lineage: Eukaryota; Metazoa; Chordata; Mammalia; Monotremata; Ornithorhynchidae. The record is from RefSeq and is a predicted model, not a curated record. The transcript has a single exon.